UAGCCUUGUAAUUCGGGGGAUUGGCCCCGGAGUAUCCACGAACCGACCAUAAUCGGUUGUAUCCAGGGAAA
Non-coding RNA from Elusimicrobia bacterium CG1_02_56_21, 71 nucleotides. NCBI's taxonomy places the organism in Bacteria, Pseudomonadati, Elusimicrobiota. The record is from Rfam.